UGCACCGGAUCCCAUCAGAACUCCGCAGUGAAGCGUGCUUGGGCGAGAGUAGUACUAGGAUGGGUGACCUCCUGGGAAGUCCUCGUGUUGCACCCC
This 96-nucleotide ribosomal RNA is filed under the name Corylus colurna. The record is from RNAcentral. Lineage: Eukaryota; Viridiplantae; Streptophyta; Magnoliopsida; Fagales; Betulaceae.